CCUCCGUCGUCCCCUUCUCCUUGUGCCCUCAAUCUUUCCCAACAUCCGGUCUUUCCAGGGAGUCUUCUCUUCUCAUGAGGUGGCCAAAGUAUUGGAGCCUCAGCUUCACGAUCUGUCCUUCCAGUGAGCACUCAGGGCUGAUUUCCUUAAGAAUGGAUAGGUUUGGUCUUCUUGCAGUCCAUGGGACUCUCAAGAGUCUCCUCCAGACCAUAAUUCAAAAGCAUCAAUUCUUUGGCGACCAGCCUUCUUUAUGGUCCAGCUCUCACUUCCAUACAUCACUACUGAGAAAACCAUGGCUUUAACUAUACGGACUUUUGUUGGCAAGGUGAUGUCUCUGCUUUUUAAGAUGCUGUCUAGAUUUGUCAUUGCUUUUCUCCCAAGAAGCAGGCGUCUUAUAAUUUUGUGGCUGCUGUCACCAUCUGCAGUGAUCAUGGAGCCCAAGAAAGUAAAAUCUCUCACUGCCUCCAUUUAUUCCCCUUCUAUUUGCCAAGAGGUGAUGGGACCAGUGGCCAUGAUCUUGGUUUUUUGAUGUUGAGCUUCAGACCAUAUUUUGCGCUCUCCUCUUUCACUCUCAUUAAAAGGUUCUUUAAUUCCUCCUCACUUUCUGCCAUCAAGGUUGUGUCAUCUGCAUAUCUGAGGUUGUUGAUGUUUCUUCCGGCAAUCUUAAUUCCGGCUUGGGAUUCAUCCAGCCCAGCCUUUCGCAUGAUGAAUUCUGCAUAUAAGUUAAAUAAGCAGGGAGACAAUAUACAGCCUUGCCGUACUCCUUUCCCAAUUUUGAACCAAUCAGUUGUUCCAUAUCCAGUUCUAACUGUAGCUUCUUGUCCCACAUAGAGAUUUCUCAGGAGACAGAUGAGGUGAUCAGGCACUCCCAUUUCUUUAAGAACUUGCCAUAGUUUGCUGUGGUCGACACAGUCAAAGGCUUUUGCAUAGUCAAUGAAGCAGAAGUAGAUGUCUUUCUGGAACUCUCUAGCUUUCUCCAUAAUCCAGCGCAUGUUUGCAAUUUGGUCUCUGGUUCCUCUGCCCCUUCGAAAUCCAGCUUGCACUUCUGGGAGUUCUUGGCCCACAUACUGCUUAAGCCUGCCUUGUAGAAUUUUAAGCAUAACCUUGCUAGCAUGUGAAAUGAGUGCAAACCAAAAUCCUCAUGCUAGGGAUGGUACUACUCAGGGGCAAAACUAAGCUUUAUUUCACCCAGGUCAAAGACCCAGUUUUGCAUGCACAGCCCACACACUUUUGUGUACACACACACACAAAGGUUGAGAACCUCAAGGGCACCCUUCUGGAGCCUUCACCAGGGGCAAAAAACACAGCUAGCCCCCUUAUAGCUACAGCUCUGGUGCUACUGAACCAGCACUUCCCACUCGUCCAGCUUUCCAUGCACUGGUCAGGACACUAAGGCUGGGAUUCAACUAAGUUGUUGUAUGUGAGGAACAAGGUCCCCUAACACAAUAGUCUUCCUGUCUCUCCUCCCCCAUGUCUCUAAAAUCUGCUCUGGAAGGUUGGAGGAGCUGGGGGGUGGGUCAAGGUGAGGAGGGGAAAAAUCUCAUUGCAUGAGCAGACCUCGUUCCCUAUGCACACUUGGAACUAAAUGAAAUUCCAUCUUGAUGGCUCAUUGUUUGGGAUCUAAAGCUCAGUGACUCAAAGAUUCCCUAAACAGACACAACCUUGCGUUGAAAUUCCAGAAGAUGGUAUUGGUAGACUUAGGCAUCCAUCUAUUGUUCAAAAGUCCUCAUGUUAUUCAAUACUAACAUGAAGUCACUGAGUAAGGUCAGAGGUUUCGUCUGUCAUUUCCAGUCAAGCCAGGUGAUGCUGAUCAGGUGUUUGAAAGCAGUAAUGGGCUGGAUGAAGUGUAUGCCCAGGGAAGUGGUGUUCAGCCAGCUCUGGAGGGGGCUGCACUCUCCUUGAAGGAUCAUGUUCACAGUCUUGAGGUGCUAUUUGAGUUAUCUUUCUCACCCGAGACGCAAGUAGUCUCUGUGGCACCAAGGGCCUUCUAUCAGUUGUGGCUGAUACACUGACCGCAACCCACUCUUGGACAUGAGUAGUUUGGCCAUAGUUACCAGUGCUUGGUAAUGUGUAGGCUGGAUUACUGCAAUGUGUAUUUCAUGUGGCUGCCACUGAAGACAGCAUGGAACCUGUAGCUAUGCUGCUAGGUUGCUAAUAGGGACCAAAUGAAGAGAUUGUAUUUUGCCUAUAUUAAAACAACUCCACUGGCUCCUGGUAAAUUUAUGAGCACAAAUCCAAGUUCUGGUCUUAAUCUUUAAAGCCUUGCAAUGGAUUAGGACCCAAAUACCUGUUGGAGUGUCUUCUCCCAACAUCAAUCUUCUAAUCCACUGAGAUUAUCAACUGACACCUUUUCUUGUGGUGCGAUCUGAAGUGCAGUGUGUUGUUACUGAAAAAGGGAGUCUUUUCAGUGUCUGCUCCAGAGAGAUCUGUUACCUUCACAACCAUCAUUUUAUGUACUGGCCACAAAUAUUUCUGUUUUCCCAGACCUGUAAGAGCCGAAGCAUUUAAAAUAUAGAUAGAACACAUUUGACUUUGUUGUCCAUUUGAACAGACUGUUGCUGUUUUAGUGUGUUGUUUUACUUUGUACACUUUACAUUUUAAAGUUUUGUUUUUAUUGCACAUUAAUUGUAUCUUACAACUCUGUUAGCUAUGCUAGUAGCAAAAAAAAAAAAAAGCAUGGGACAUAAAUUGUGCAAACAAACAAACAAACGGCAUUUGAGGAAUCAAAACAUUUUCCAAAGGCAGGUGGGGUGGAGCUGCAGAGUUCUGUACCACUUGCCAUGUUUGGGAUGCUUUCUCAGCAUCAGCAGUACAAACCUAUGAAAAUGUGAUUGCAGUAUGAACAAGAAGUUGAAAAAUACAGAGAUGACGAUAAAUGUUCUGCAUUUUAAACAAGCUCUUACAUAAAUACAUUGGAAGCACCAAUCAGAGUUCUGAUCACCUGCAAGAUAUAUGCAACUCAGAGAGGCUAUCCCCUCCCAGGCCAUGCAGAUGAGCAGGAUUAGAAAGGGAGAAAGUGCUGCCAUCGAACAAAAAUAGUGAGUCACUUCAAACCCCUGUUGCUAUCUCCUCUUUAAUGAGAGACUUCCGUUGUGCUUCCUGUUUUCCAGAUAGCAUUGCUGACUGCAGCAAUGUUUGGAAUUGCAUUAAAUUAUACUUGUCAAGAUUAAAAUUUCGAACUCAUGGAACAUUUCAAGUAAUUUAUUAAUAGACACAAGUCUGGUGCUCAUUGCAGUGCUAAGUGCCUAGGAAGCACAUUUUGUGUCUGAAUCAGAAGUUAAGCCAGCAUCAGAGACUUCUGAAAAUAAUGUGUGAGGUGUACAUUUAUCAAACUUCUCAUUCAGUUCAGCUUUCAGGAAAAAACCUCAAAAGCUGUCAACUGCAAUACCUUAUUUUUUCCAAACCUUUUGCACAACCUGUACUUACUCCCACAACAUGCAGCAUCUUCAUCCUGGCUUUUCAGUUUAGUUCAUUACUUUUCCUUGUCAUUUGUCAUUGUCACUCAGGGUUUUGUUGCGUCAAUAAAUCAGAUACUUUUAAUCAGCAACUUAGAAGCACUUAGCAUUUUUUAACAUAAAAAAGCAGUGUCCAAAAAUGACUUGGCGUGCAGUUCUCUGGGGAAGAAGGGCAACACUUGCCUCCCACCCAAAGUGACUAAGCAGUCUUGAUGUGGCAGCAACUGCGGUCUUAUUCCGAUAAGAUAGAUCUAACAAUUUAUAUUAUAUCUAUAUAAUACAGAGCAAAGUCUUCCGUGAAUAGAAAUGAAGCUACACAUACCACUGAUUUUUCUAAUAAUAGAUAACUAUAUACCAGCAAAUUCUUGGAAAUACUUGCUAUACUUUGUGAUCAUGCCAGUUUGUGGAAACAAUUUGUGGGCUCCCCACAGGCAUCUGGUUGGCCACCUUGAACAGGGUGCUGGACUAGAUGGGUCCUUAGCCUGUUCCAUUAGGGUUUAUUUCCUUGAUCUAUGGUGUCUACUUGGGAUAUGGAUAUGCACACAUGUCCGACAGACUAGCAUGCCACUGGGAAGUCUGGAAUGAAAACAGUAUAACAGUUUAUGCCACAUCAGACUAUUUGUCUAACUGGUAUCUCAGUAUUGUCUACCUUGACUAGCAACAGUUCUCUAGGGUCUCAGGCAGAGAAGGGUCUUUCCCAUCACCUGAUGCUUUUGGAUUGGAAAUACCAGGAACUGAACCUGGAACCUUCAUGCGAAAUCCUUGCUAUGGUCUCUACUCCCAAAAUGCAGUCCUGGUUCUUUCCAUGCCUUCGCUCGUAUCAUAUUUGAGAGGUGGAAUGUAUCAGAAGCAACUUCCAGUGUAGCACAGGGGAAGCUACUGCUGGAAAAAAUAAAUCUAAAAAGUUCCAUUGUAUAUGUGCAUGGCUACAGAUGCAUGUAACAAUAAGCCUUGUCAAAUCAAGAUCUUGUCCACAAGACCCAUAAGACUUUCAUUCAAAUCAUAAUAAUUGAUGGUUUCUCUUGGGCUUAGUGAUAAUUGUCUCUCAGAUGUGGGACAGAGUAAUUGAAAGGAAAUAAACUAUGAAGACUCCUAUAUUUCGGGCAACGACAAGUGCUUGGGCAGCCUGGGUCUCUUGAGCAACGGGGCUCACUGGAAGAUAUAUCAGUUGUCUAAGAUGUGCAAGUGGUUGGCUUGUAUCAGGAUCCUGCUCAACCCAGAAGAACCACCUUAAGGAAGAACCAUGAGACCCCACUGAGAAUCCCAGUACAGCAGAAGUCCCAAGGCAGCCUGAAGUGCCUUAAACUCAGAGAAGGUGGUAGUGUGGAUAUAAGCUUUUCUCAGUCUCCUCUGAACUCAUGCUGGGUUCAGUCCUCUAACCCAUUUGCACAGCUCCAGAUUGCUGUGGCUCAGUUCCUGCCACCCGAGAUGCUUGUAAUGGGCACUUUGUCAGAAGAAUCAAGUGUAUGUGUACAUGUAUGUGAUGAACCUGGAUACAGUAGGUGAAAUCUAAUGCCAUGUUUGCCCUUUACAUUCAGGGUACUAAACCUUUAGGUUGCUCUUCUAUUUUUUGAUUAAGCUAAAUGAUGAAGUUGAUGUUAAUUGGCCCGACUGACAUUUUGUCAAAGUUUUAGCCAUCAGCAAAAUGAAUAAAAUAGCAUUGGUUAUUAUGUUCAGCAAAGAAUAGUGUGCAGAAGCUGUAACUUCCUACAACAGGGAAGGAGAGGAUGGUGUUAACUUGCCCUAAGAAUGCUUCUAAACAUGAUCCUGUAAUAACAUAUAACAGGGCUAACAGCUAAGCCAAUUGGAAUUAAUUCUCUAAGUCCUUUUUUGAAAUCAAGUUACACCUUGCUUAUAUUCUCUUCUAAGUAGAUUUCUGCCAAGAUGUGUAAACUAUGAUUAAGCUAUUGGUUGAUUAUUGCUGAAACCAGAUCCCCCCUCCCAUUUAUUAAAUGCAACAUUUUCUCUUUGAGAGGAAUGAGUCCAUCUCUUUCUUUUCUAUAUUUCUAAACUUAUCAGGUUCUCCGUAUAAUCUGAACAAUAUUUACCACCCUCAUAAUUAAAUUAGCCAUGACACAAUAAUGGUCUUAGAAAGUGAAUUGACUAGCCUGUGCCAGGGUGCCUCUGCACCCCUGCCAAGAUUCAAAGACAACAGCUCUGACUCUCUGCGUCGACUGUCCAACAGCUUUGUAUAGCGGAUUAACUAGUGCUUUAGAACUCCUGCUUGGCUUCAGGUGCUUCAACUAUUGUUGGCUGCAAGACCUUAACUAGAGGCAUGGAUCUUAAAAUGGUUACACCCUCCCAUAGCAGGGUUGAAGACUUUUCUCAAUGUGCCAUUUCCAAAUGAUUCCUCAAACAACAUUGCUAAGUGGCUUUCAGACAAAUCAGAUAAGCACUAAUAUGACCCCAAUGAAGGCAGACAUUACAGGUUGUAUGGGGGGGGGAGUGUACUGAGUUGGCAAGUUCUUUAAAGAGAAAGCAAGUAGUUAAUUAUGUACAGCCCCCAGGAAUUGAACUCUAGUGUGUUGAGGAUCUUAUUUCAAAUCAAGAAUCCUGCAAAGAAUAUUUGUGGUUUUCAGCAUCUCAGCAUUCUGGAGAAAGAGUAGGUGACAAUCAGAUCUUAUCUGUCCUUGAAUUAUAACAGGGCAUGAGUUGCCAUGGGAUGUAAUGGUUUCUUUUAAACAAUCUUGCCAUCAUAUCCUAGGUCCAGAAGAGCUGGACCUUUAAGGGGCUUUUGCUACUACCACAGGUGCAGACUUUAAAAGAAGGGGAAAGCUGAUGACAUGUAAAAGCUUUUACGGUGGGAGCUAAAUCGCUGGGAUAAAUCCAAGCACCUUUAAACCUGUCCUUCCUGUGACUCUUACUAUCAACCCGCUUCAGCUGCAAGUUACAUUAAACUGCGCAAGAAUAAAAGACAAUCCAUUUCAGACCUAAAUGACUUAGACAGAUGCUCUGCUGCCUCACUCUCUCUGCUAGGAAACCAAUUACUAUGUUCUGUGUGAGAAACGUUUUUACUAAUACUGCAGGAUGUUGAUAAAAAAACCCUUUGGAAGAGGGGAGGGGCUGAAAAGGCCAGGCUUCUAGCGUUCAGGUGAAGGCCAUGCAAAAGAACUGCAUGUAGAGAGUAGGCUGCUGAUUAUGGCACUUGUACAGAACUAGAAGGAAAACGAGACUGGUGUUAUAAUUGCAGGCAUGCUUAUGGUAGUCUUGUUGAUGUAAUUGGGGCUUACUUCUGAAUAAAUUUGUGUAGAAUAAGGUUGCAAGGGUUUAUCUUUUAUCUCGCAAUAACUUCCUAAUAGUUAUCUAUUUAUUUUGCAAGUUCAAGAAAAACAAGGUUCUGUUGCCAACAGAAUUUGAUUGUUCUGUCGCUUAGAAAUAAAAACAGGGCAUUCUGUGAAACAAUGUAAACUUAUAUGCUGUUUAAAAGAAAAGGUUCCCAGAAAUGUUAGCAUAUAAGGCAACCGGGUGGCACAUCGCUGAUGAAAUGUAUAAAUUUUUCAGUCUUAUCAAUGUCAGCCCAUAGUAUCUACUAAAGAAGAUUAGCAAAGAAAAGGAGUCAAUAUGUCAAUAGGAAUCCUGGGUCUCCCCCCCCCCCAUUCACAGUUAGACAUAUGACUAUGAGUUCUAAGGGGCAGCUUGCUCAUGCCAAUUCCCUUUCAGUGAUGAAGUUUACAACCUCUCCAGUUACUAUUUAAGAUGUGCUAGUGAUGUACAACAGGUCUUCACACUACAAGUAAUGUGAUUAAAAGCACAAGAGCAAGACCGUAAUCUUAUUACACUGGAAUUAUGCUUUGGCAAGAGCUGUUUCAUUCUGUUAUUUGGUCAUUCACUUCCACUGUCUGCUUUGUUUUCUGCUUUACCUUCUCACUCUCCAUAGCUAUUUACAACUGAAGGUCCCCUUCCUCCUAUAUAAAAGUACCAAAGAGCUGAGUGAUAUGGUUGCCACCACCCUCCAAGUCUAAAGCUCUUAUACUCUGGUCCCUUCACUCAGCAUUUGAUAUACGGAAGCCUGUCAAUGGUGUCAACCAUGCAACCAUUUGUGUACACUCACAAGAAUCAAAGAUCUUUAGGAAGUGGAGCAAUCUGCCACCUCAUGGGAUUCACAGGUUUCUUCUUGCCAGUCACCAUUCCAUUUAAAUGUCUAUGGGGGCAAGCCAUUUGGGGAGCCAUGAUUCAACCCCCAGAUAUGGUUGCAGGGUCAGGAAAAGUUUACAGUGAUGGCUACAAAGGAUCUUACCUUUUCCCUUCUUCUUCCCCUUCAUGUGAAAGCUGCUGGGUUCAGCAGUACGGCAGCAACAGCAGAGCUCUGGCCACCCUCCUGCUUCCUUCCCAGAGGGCCAGUCACAGAGUUCUGCUGCUACCAAGCUGUCAAAGAUGCCAGCAAGUUUCAGUCAUUUUUUUAAAAAAGGAAGAGGAGAAAGGGUAAGAACCCACUACCACCACUGUAAGCCUGUUCCCUCCCACUGAAACUGUGUGAAGAACAGUUAUUUAUGCUGUCCUGCUUUCCUAUCGUGAGAUUUGCACAAAAUGCCCUUCCCACAUCAAACAAAUCCUGAAACAAAGAGAAAGGAAGCAGUUUUAGUCCCUGUCCAAGUUACAGGGUAUUUUAUACUCUCAUACACAAAUAUACAGAUUUUUAAUGUUCACUGCAGCACUAACUUGGGUAGCAAGAACAUGUUUUGAAGGAAGAAUAUGUUGGAUGGUUGACAAGAGGUCAGUUUUCUCUGCUUUACUGCUUUUGGUGCCCCAGUCAGUGAUGGAUUGCUCUGCAAAGCAGUUGUGGUCUUGUGUCCAAUUCUCCCCCCUUCCUGCAUACAUUUGAUUCUUCUGAAGAGGCAAGAAAGCACUUAUACAGCUUGGACAAAUGAUAAACAGUAAACCUGCAACUUACUCUGCUUUCACUUACGCGAUGGCAGGUUUGCUUGGAGUGGGGGAAUGAAUGAAUGAAUGAAUGAAGAGCACGGAAAAACCCACCAUUCCCUGCUGUCCAUUUAUUUAUUUCUGUCUCCUAUGUGUCCAUAAAUCCCCCAUGAAUUUUCCUCAUGGCAUUGUUGAUUUUAAGAUUAUGAAAUAGGGGGAAACAUAAAUUGAUUGAAUUUAUCUGUUUCUUUGUCAUUUAUAUUUCUUUGCAGUUUCUAGGACAAUAAAUGGGAGCACCUCUUACUCCCCAGGAAACAAAAAUAGAAUCACAUUGCUAAAAAUUCCCGACUGCGUAUUUGGGUGUUAAACCAAAACUACAGGAAAGCUGAAAAAAGCAGAAUAAACUGAUUUCUCCCCACUGAGACCUGCUGCCAAAUUGCACAGAUCCUCUUUAAACUGAAGUUAAAAAAAUAAAUAAAUAAAAGACAGGGCUAAGCUUACAGGAGAAUUAUCAUUCCAAGCUAUUCUGCUCGGGCAUUAGACACUGAAACAAAAGCCAGGCAUGAAAGUGGAAAUGACAGUCUUAUUCCACAAAGCUGAUACGAUCAGUUUCCCUGGGUACUUUAUUCCAGAUUAUGAAAACAGAAUGACAGCUACACCAGCUUCUAGGAUGAAAGACAGAAAAUUGCUGCAUACAGUUCUACUGCUUUGAGAACAUUUUCUAAAUUGCAAAGGAAAGUGCUCUGAAGAAUUUUUGCAGGCCUUUGUACCUUUUCCCUACUCUGACUUAACUGUAUCCAUAAGACCAAAGGGCAAUGGAAGUUUCUUUUCCACCCCAAAAUGACAGAAGCUUAAACAGCUCAACGGAUCAUUUCCAUGAGGACUUACGCCACAAAGAAUUGAGAUUUGCCGUGUUAGAUCAGCUUUAUAGGAAGCCUCAGCAGAGGCAACAGCUAUCAGCUGUCAGAACAGAGCCACAAUUGUUGGUUUAGCAAACAACUGGUGAUAAGACCUUAGCUGACAAAGAUUCAGAAUACAGGGAUGUACUUUUGCAUUUCAGGAAUACACUGGUGUGUCUUCCCUAUUAUCUUUUUUUAAAAUAACAACUUGCUGGUAGCAGGGAGGUUGUCUGUGGGUGCAUAACGUUCACAUAAUCUGCCCUGGACAUGUACAGUUGCCAACUUUUUUGACUGGUUCCGCUUCUGAUACAGUGGUACCUCAGGUUAAGAACUUAAUUCGUUCCGGAGGUCCGUUCUUAACCUGAAACUGUUCUUAACCCGAAGUACCACUUUAGCUAAUGGGGCCUCCUGCUGCCGCUGCACGAUUUCUAUUCUCAUCCUGAAGCAAAGUUCUUAACCUGAGGUACUAUUUCUGGGUUAGCGGAGUCUGUAACCUGAAGCGUCUGUAACCCGAGGUACCACUGUAUAUACUAAGUCAAGAACUGCAGCUUUUUGCCAUCAUUUACCUCUGAGAAACACAAAACUUCACCAGAUUAAUUUCAACAUGUCGGGCUGACAUGACAGGUACAUAAACAAGUUCAGAUUCUAAAAGCUAGCAACCAUUUGAAAAUUACUCGAUAAUGGAAAGAAUGGUAUACAGUGGUUAUAAACACACAUAUAAUCAACUAGCAAGUCAAUACAGUGCUAUAGAAAUACAGCUGUGUAAAUGGUACCACAAAUGUCAUUGAAUGGGAGAUCUAAGAAAUUGGUAUUAUUAUUAGUAGCAGUAAUAUUAAAGCAGGACCUCUGUGGCCAAUCAUAAUAAAUGCAUACUGGUAGCCAUUUACAGUGGAAGCUUGGUUCUUGAACGCCUUGGUACUCAAACAUUUCGGCUCCCGAACGCCGAAUACCUGGAAGUACGUGUUCCAGUUUUCAAAUGUUUUUUGGAAGCUGAAUGUGGCUCCUGGCUAUCGUUUCCGGGGCGCCUGCACCAAUCGGAAGCCACGCCUUGGCUUUUGAAUGUUUCAGAAGUUGAACGGACUUCCGGAACAGAUUACAUUCGAGAACCAAGGUACCACUGUAGUUAAAAAGCUGGGGGGGGGGGGUUCACUCUUUAUAUUGAGCUGAGCAUAUGGGAAAAGAAGCCAAACUUCACCUCCCCUUCUACCAUACCUCCUUAUCUAUAACUGCCUUCAGGCACUUCUUCUCAGCUCAGUUCAUUUCCGGUACAGUGGUACCUCGGGUUAAGUACUUAAUUCGUUCUGGAGGUCCAUUCUUAACCUGAAACUGUUAUUAACCUGAAGCACCACUUUAGCUAAUGGGGCCUCCUGCUGCUGCUGCGCCGCCAGAGCACGAUUUCUGUUCUCAUCCUGAAACAAAUUCUUAACCCGAGGUAUUACUUCUGGGUUAGCGGAGUCUGUAACCUGAAGUGUAUGUAACCUGAAGCGUAUGUAACCCGAGGUACCACUGUACUGCUGCAUGUGUGUGGCGGUAUAAAGUUCUGUUCCCUUCCCCCAUAUGGUUUGAUAUAAAGUGUGUCCCCCCAAUUCCUGCUUUAUGGCCAGUGCCUCUGGAAACUUUGCACUACAACUCCCAUCAUCCCUGACCUUUGGACCUACUGGCUGAGGUGUGGUCCAAGACAUUUUGAGAGUACUAGGAUAAGGAAAGCUCCCCUAAAUUGCUGUGCUCACCAAAUGUUCAAUAAGCAAAAAUAAUAAUGCUUGGGAUUAACCCAAUUGACUCUGAUGCUCCCAGUGCACAGUGCUCCAAUGGCUCAUUGAGAUGCUCAUCCCAUUAGCUAGGUUCAAAAGGUUGUGUGAAAUCUACUGCAUGUUCUUGGGAAUUUUAAAGCUUCCUUCCCAGCACUUGCCCUCAAAGCCCCAAAGGCUAGGGGCCCACUGUUGUGGCAUUCCAUAAACUGUGGGGCACUGCUGCACACAGGGAUUCUUGGGAUACUGGCCACUAUGAUAAAGAUAAAGAUAAAGAUAAAGAUAAAGAUAAAGAUAAAGAUAAAGAUAAAGAUAAAGAUAUCUACAAGGCCUCCGAAUUAGAAGAUAUGAUUUCUCAACUCUGCUUAAAGAUUGGAUUUCUGCUGUUGUCCAUACAUGUUUCCACAGCCCAGACCUUCUUCCCCUCUUUUCUUUUCUUUUCUGUUGUGCUGCUUCCUCAUCCAUGGUUAUGCCACAUUUAAUUUUACAGUCCUUGCUGUUAACAGCCCAUGUUGUUAACUCAUUAUGACAAUCCACUUUCUUUCAUCAUUGUUCACAUAAUUCAUCUAGAAAUCACUGCUGAGGCUGGUCUUCAGUGCCGAACCUCAGUGUUUACAGGCAGGUCUUCUGAUAAAAGAUUGUACCAGGUAAUUAUAAGAAUUAAUGCAAAAAUCUGAUAGAUGGAAUGUCAAAAUAUAUGAGCCAGUAGGACUUUCAUUGAAUUCAGAGGGCCCCCCAAAAGUGCUUGCAUUUAAAGGAUAGGAAUUUAGGUGUCUGGGGGCGGGAGAGCUUCUGACAUAGGCUACUGGGUUUUAUUUGUAUAGUUUUGUUAACCCACAGCCAUGGAAAGGUAGGUGAGCAGAUAUCUAUAACUUGUGAAGACGAUUAAAUUGUUCUAUAACUGUACAUGACUGAGGAAGUCAUAUCUCAAAGCAGUGAUAACAGUAAAAGUCAUGCUUCUAUUUGGCUUCCCUACAAGAAUAUUACCAAGUAACGUUGUUUCACUACACUAUUUAUAAUCAGCAUAGCAUCAACUAAGUAGGCGUUAUUGCUAAAAAGAAACGAUUGCAUCAGUUCAUCUCUACCUUGGGUUUACAACAUCAAAGUUGAGCUGCCACAGAGUUAUGAACUAUAUCAGUAAAUAGGCAGCAGGAAUGGUGCAUUGGUCGAUAUAUUUAUUGCCAGUCUUUAAAACUGUUGGGCUUAACUUGAUAAAGACUGGAAAUUCCUUCUAAGUAGCUCCAUCUUUCAAGCCUUGUUAUUAGCAGACACUAAAUGACAUCAUCUCACAGCUCUCAGACUUGAGAUCAAUACUGAACGUUUUCACUGUGAAAAAAAUCUAUUUCUUCAAUCUUGAAUGUUUUGUUAUAUACUGACUAUCUUCUGAUGAUGCACAAUUAGAACAGUGGGAAAGUAAAUCAGUGUGAUAUUUUUAAUACCUACAACUAGAGAUGUUGGAGAAUUCUAACAAAAAUGGAAAUGGGAGUGGAAAUUUUGAAUGUGCAGUUAUUCGUACCAUGUCCAGAGCAGAAAUCGAUCCAAUGAUUACAACUGGUAUUCACUGUCAUUGCUGUCAGUCCCAAACAAUAUAUAAUUUAUUACAUACCACACUCCCAAUUUAUACUGCAUUUCCUUUGCACUGAAAUGAGUGGGAUCGAAUAACGUAUAUUAUGAAGUAAUAUGCAUAUGGUUAGCCACCAUGGGAAUCAGGAUGCUCUUGGUCUGAUCCAGCAGGGCUCUUGUUAUGUACUUUGGCUUCUGGUCUCCCAGUACAGGGUUUAUUAUCACAAGUGUUUUCAGGAGGAUUUACAGUACCAAACAAAGAUGAUGAUCACCAUAAUCAUACAUCUCAAAAAUACAGGUGAUGUAAACAAAAAAAACAGUGGGAAGGCUGGCUACAGACUUGCACUCUACAGAACUAUAUUAAUCCAGUUCUGUUGCUGUUCUAGAAUUUAUGGUAUUUGUUUUAACGUCACAAAUUAUUCCUGAAGUUCCUCACAAAACUGAUGCCCUCUCAAAUAGUUAUCAGCAUGGAAUAAUACAAUUUGCCAGGAAAAAAAGGAAACACAGGCAGUAUCUUGAAUUUCAAUUAAGCCUAUGCCACCACUAGGGUAAACACAGCAAGGCUGCACACAAGGCCAAUCCACAGAAGUGAGAAGAUGUUUGUUAUGCAGUCAUGCACAGUGUUGAGCACCUUGCAUUUUAGCGAUUUAAAAAACCUGAUGGAGCACAACACAGUAUCAGUACUUAGGAAGAAAGUAAGUAUUUUCUCACACUGCAAAAUGAGAAAUGCCUUUCUAUAUCUCUUAUGGUAAAAAAAAGAAGAAGAAGUUGGGGAAUUUAGAGCAGUUUUGAAAGCAGAAAAAAACAGGGCAAGGACAAAGAUACAAUGCCAGCAAGAUCCCAGGAGACCAUCUUAUCUUCUUCUGCUCUGGAAACUUAGAAGGUAAAACAAAUACUUCCGUGUGUGGGCUAUUGAAGAUGAUACUAGCAAAGUAGAUACAACUUGUCUUCCUUGGGGGGUCUGGCUCAUACUUAAAAGAGAGAAAGAGAAAAAGAAACACCACAUAGGAGCAGGAUGGUGAGAGGUAUCAAGAAAGUCUCCCCACCAGCAGCAGCUCACUGAGCUCUUAAAUAUCUUGUCUUCUUAUUUUAACUUCAAGAGAGAACUCAACUGAACAUGGCUAAAGAACCUAAGCAGAAAAAGAUAACAAAUUAUGACAAUAUAUUGUUCACAGAGUAUGCAGAACGUAGCAUCCUAUAGGGAGAAAAUUAUUGCUCUCUUUUGCAAACAGUAACUACAAGUAUGACAAGCGCAAUGGAGCAUGCCCUAAGUACUCACAGGGAACAUUCUGUUGGGGAUAGAGAUGUUAGGGUUAGCAGCCCAAACACUGGAUCACUACUUAAUUAGUCCCAGCUAUGGCAAAGAGGGGAAGCACUAGCCAGUGGGGAGAGGCUAUUUAUAAAGCUGAACUGUGAAUUCAUGAAAUGGGACUGGGGAAUUGUAGGAAGACUGGAAACUAAGCUGGCUGAGGGGUGGAUGAUAGUCCAGCUUCUGAACUUUAAUAAUCAUUCAAACAUAUUAUAUCCAAUGUUCCUUUGCAAUGCUAAAUGGCACUUGAGAAGCAAUGUUACGUGUUAUUGUACAAUGACUCACUAAGACUUUAUGCAAAAUGUUUAUCUUUUAUUUUAGAAUGCUAGAACAUUUCCUUUCCUUAAAAAAAUGUUAUUGAUUUUAAAUAGACAAAAUGUACAAAACAAAACCCACCAAGUAUAUAAUUUCAAAAACAUUAAGUGUACACUUGAUUGGAGAUAUAAUUAUGUCCUUUUUCUAUUAUGUCUUUCAGGUCUACAAAGCUUUUCCUAUAUAUCGUUCUUAUCUCAGAGUUUGCAAGCAAUCAAAGAGCUCCAGAUCUAGCAUCCCUUUCCUAAGGGCCAAACUACACAUGAUGAUGUUCCAUGACUAGAGCUCCAGUAUAUUUUUCUUGUCCAAAAAGCAGUGGGGGCUACAGCAGGGGGAGAGGGGUGUUGUUGAUGAUGAUUCAUUGAUUCAACUUGGCUGGGGCUAACAGCCCUGAUCCAGACUGGGUUCCCCUCCUGCUACUAUGUGAACAACAACAACAAAAGUCAUUGGGAGCUCUAAACAUGGAAAACCCACAUCACAUCUAGUUUGGCCCUUAACUGCACCUAACGUAUGCCUUCUGCUUCUACUGAUAACUAUUUAUCUAAAAAUCAAUACAUAUCACACGUCAUCACACACCUUUUAUUUUCUUUUAAUAUAAAAUUAUAAUAUUAAUUCAUGUAACCUGUAAUACAAGCUGUGUAUUAUUUAUUUAUUUAUUUAUUUAUUUAUCAUCAUCAUCAUCAUCAUCAUCAUCACUAUGUUGCCCUUCAUCCAAAGAUCACAUAAACAUACCAUAGUAGCAAACAAAAACAAGACCCCCAAAUUUAAAAGGCCAUGGAUUGUUUAAUUAGCCAAAGGCUAACUAUUACCCCCCAGCCCCAGAGAUCUGUACAUUCUUUUCCUAAUUUAACCUCCCUCCUAUGAAAUUCAAGGGAACUGUAUUUUCUUCUUCUUUACUGUUGAAACUGUGAAUCAAAUGGGAAGAUAGGUUUUUUCUUGCAAAAUGCCCAAUGAAGUUUAUUAUUAUUUUAAUAUAUAUGCAACACUUAAUCCGAUGGUAAUACGUCACAAGCCAAUAAUUAUUACACUUGCUAUCCAGUUUUAAAUUUGUUUUUCCUCUUAAUCCAUUCUCAAAAAAUAAUUUAAGGAUGUAAACCUUCAACCUUAUAUUGUACAUCAGAAUAUUGAAGAAAAACUCUAUUGAUUAAGAUGUUACUAUGGAUCUAUGUACACACUUCAUAACAGAGAAUGCCUCAAAUCUAUGAAAAACUCCUAUUGAUUUGUCUGCCUUAAUUAGGUGGAUUCAGCCAAUCAUGAGAAAAAGACACAAGAUUUAUAGAUUGUCAAAUCCUUCCACUUCUUACUGUUCCCUUAGCAGAAUUAGGAUUUCAACAAACCAUUUUAUUUCAGCCUAACAUAGUAACCCUUAUGCCAGAACUGCCCCCAGUUUGUCACUGACUCAGACACAUUUAUGUGAGAUAAUCCUGCACUGAAGCAAAUUAUGAUGAGGCAUCAUUUCAUGAAGCUUUAGGAACGACUUGGUCUGAACUGGACACGGUAUCUGCAUGUCAUGGCGCUUUCAGAGAUAUGUGAAGCUGAGGUUGAGGAGUCACAAGUGGGCACAAGGUUAUGCAAGUUCACUGAACUGCGAGACCCCUUGGCUCAUGCUCUGUGUCAAGAUGAUAUAAGAUCUCCCAAAGGAAACGGAUUACAAUGAUUCCUUUUGGCCAUUAGGAUGAAUAUGUUCUCAUUAAUCUUACAGAGACAGCCAACCGAAGAGUUCACUAAUGUGACAAAGCAGGAUGUUUACAAGAGUUUGUAUAGUUAUAGGAUAGCUUAUUCUUUGCUUAAUGUACAUGGUACCUGCUAUGCUACCGGCCACUAGACCAGCACUUACUCCAGCAUAAUCUAAUUGUGCUUCUGUGUGGUAGUGUCAGCCAAAGUUGGUAAUUAAGUGCUUCAGAGUAUUAAUUUGCUCUACUCAUAAUGCUUGGAUGCAUCUGGAAUGAGUUCUGGCAGCAGCACAGAAGAAUGAGUUUGCUAGCCUUUUUGUUGUUGUGGCAUGGCUCCUAUGUCUUUGAAAGCUGCAGAAAACAAUGCAGUAACAGGUGCAGCAUUUCCCCAACACUGCGCCUCCAUGCUGGAUAUAGUUGCACCUAUUUCAUUUCAAUCUACCAUGUACAUUUGAAAGGUACUGGAGCCCUCGGAAGCGGGGACAAAUGAUUCUGUCCAUUUCUGCUUCUCUGACUUUCCAAUUUUUCAAAUUUUAAGCUCAGCUGAUCGCAAUAUCUGCACAAGUUUGCAAAAAAAGUCAUGAAAAUUCAUCGGUAUUUCAGUUCACAUUUCUCCUAAUAUGUACAUUUUAAAUGAAUUUUUGGCUUUUUCAAGCAAUUUCCCCCACUUUAUGCACGCCCCCUUCAAUAUAGUAAUUUUUGUGCACAUUUUUAUUAGAAGAAUCGCAUCGUAAAAUUCAGAGGACAGCUGUGUUUCAGUUCGCAUAGUGUGAAGCAGGUAGGCUUGCACUAAAAUGUAAAGCAAAGCAAAUUUCUCCCCCACCCUGCUUGGAGGAAGGAGGUGGCAAAGCUGUUCAGGAGAGCAGCUGGCCUGUGAUGACGCGCCAUGAUUGGCCAUGGAACUGAUUGCUAUCCUAUCUUUGGAUGUGACUGGGAAGCAGCAUGGGAGAGAGUCACCUGGUGCUCUCCAAUGGGAAUGGCUUUACUUCUUCUGCAAAGAUUGUGUUGGAAGCUAGGAGAAAACCCUAAAUGAACAAUGCCAACCCAGCAUUGUUCAUCCUCAUAAGCUUCCCCUUCCACCUACAUUUCAGUUUCUAGGAAAUGCUGAACUGCUCCCACCAGGUUAAAAGCGGUAGUGCGAAUUCCAAGGCUUCAGCCUUAAGAAUGUAUGCUGGUGAAAGAAAGUUAUUUGUUACUUAUUUUGUUUCCUCUGAAAAGUGAUAUAUGCUCUGUCACUAACUGUGUUCCUUUUCCUGUGGGAGAUUGCAGCAGUAUUUAGACAUCAUAGUAGCACACUGUGGACUUACAUACUCUCCCCUUCCCUUUCUUCCUCCACAGUGUCCAAAAGGGGGUGUUCUGAAGCUUUCCCUUCCACUUUUGCUUAACUACAAGCUUGUUGUGUUGUCAGAACUGACAAGCUGUGAUUAAUGUUAACUAUUUUUUUAAAAAGAACACCAAACCAACUUAAUUCAAUUAUGUAUAAUCUAUCACUAAUUUCCUCAAAUGGCAACAACAUCUAUCCAUAUUAAUUCAAGAGGAAUAUGCUUCAUUUAUACAUAGUUCAUGCUGCUACUUCUGUGGAAUUAAACUUCAGCAGACCCACUCUGCUUUGCUGAUGAAAAGAAUGUAGCAGUCUUUCCAUAUUGCCUUAAGUAAAUCUGGAAAUUUCUUCCUUUGUAAAAGAAAUAAUAAUAAUACAUUAAUUUAUUAUUUAUACCCCGCCUAUUUGGCUAGGCUUCCCCAGCCACUCUGGGCGGCUUCCCAAAAAAUAUUUUUUUGGCCUUGACCAUAGUGUACUCAAAAGCAACUAAUCACGAACUGCUUGUGGGCCUCGGAUGCAAAUGCAUCUGCCAACAUCCUUGAAUACUGGCUGUGCUGGCUGAGGCUGAUGGGAGCCAAAUUCCAACAGUAUCUAGAGGCAGCGGCGGAAGAAGCCACUUGGGCAUCUGGGGCAGCGUGCCCAGGGGUGGGGCGCAGCCCGAGGACUCCGAAGUCUGCCUGCCUCCUCCCACUCAGCCGCCCUACAGUCACUGGCGGAGGAAGAGGAGUGCGGGGGGAGCGUACCACCCUCGGCAGCGUGAUCCCGGUGGGGUGCCAUCGCAGCUGCCCCUCUGUCUGCGCUGGGUGCCCCACCCCCAGGACACGCGCCAUGCCCCUGUGGGCAGUGCACCCCACCCCCAGGACGCAUGUCACUCCCCUGUGGGCGGUGCACUCCGCCCCCGGGACAUGCACCAUGCCCCUGGGACGUGCGCCAGCCCCGCGCCCGCCUCCUCUUCGCCCCCCUACAGCUGUGGGGGAGGCAGUGGGCGGACCGUUUGGGCGCACACGGAGCCUGUGCAUGCCCAGGAGAGACGCGUGGCUUGGGCACGCUGCAGGCCCCACGAUGAGUGCCGCCUGGCUUCAGUGGUGACACCCGGGGCAGUCUGCACCCACCGCACCCCCUUCCUCCGCCUCUGUCUGGAGGGUACCAGGUUGGUUACCUGCAGUAGGCUGGAUGAAUAGCAUGAUGCUGCAGAUGGAAAUGUACAGGGCAACAUGCACAGAAUGGUGCUUACACAUGUGGAUCUCUCAUGCUGCAGAUCUAUCCAGGGAGGCACAGCUUGAUCUCUAAAACUAUCAAAAUCUUCAGUAUGGCUUUCAUAUCAGAUCCACUGCCAGAACACCACUUAUUACUGGUGAAGUGUGAACCCGUAAGUAAUGGGGGGGGGGAUUUUACACAUCAUUCUGGUGGCAUUUCUACAGGAAAUGACUAAUGCGAACAAGCCUGUAUUGUCUUGUGAAACGAAAUGUGGUAGAAUUUCUCCACAUAAGCCAUGUCAAUGCACUACAAACACAUCACUUCAGAAUAAAAAAUUGAAACCUCUAUUACAGUGCCCAAGAUCAUUUUGCCUGCCAAUCCCAAUAAACUGAACAUUUCGAGGUGUUCCUUCAAAGCUGCUGCUACAGUGCCUAGGCUGAAGUCUUAUUACCAUUUACAUUGACUAGAAAAUUAAUCUUGAUGUCAAUUACUAUUAAAGAAAAGUCCAGCCAGCUGCCAUGGAUAAAUCUUGUUAACCACAAACUGAAUUACUCUACAGGGUCUAGGCUGAUUCGAGCUAAACUAAACAACACAAGAGGUUUUCUUAAUUAAUUAAAAUAUAUGCUUAGCUUUAGGGUAAGCUUCCACAUUGGUGCUAGUAUAGCAUUUGUGCCGUGAAUGCUCAGCAGCCUGUUGAAAAUAUGUAGUUUGUCAGUUGUGCAAUUGCUAGUACUGUAAUACUUGCAGUAAACAUGACCGCCAGGAUCUUGAACUGCACUAAAGACCCAUUUAGCAUCUCCCGGUGACACAGAUCAUUGCUGCACAUCUUGUGCAACUGGGCUCAAUUUGAGGUUGAGUCUUGCCAGGCCUCAGCCCCACAACCUCUUUUAAAUGCUAGGGAAGUAUAAUAAAGAGAGUCUCUAAGCAUAUUCAGAGUGCUUUUCUUUGGGAGGGGAGAAAUCAAGGUGCUCAGAUUCGCCGGCUCCUAGACUGAGAUGAGCCAGAGUUCAAUCCUGUUUGUAAAAUUAAGCAUCAUGCUUCUAAGUGCAAGAGGUCCACCCAAAUAGGAGGAGCAUAUUUUGAAGUUAUGACACUUGCAUAGGAAGAGGGAUGGACAACUUGGUGCCCUCAAGAUGCUGAUGGACUCCAACUCUCAUCAGCCCCAGUCAAAGGUCACUGAUAAUAGCAGUUGUAGUCCAACAACAUCUGAAGGGCACCAUGUUGAAUGUCCCUGCUGCAGAACUAUACACAAUGCUACUUCAGUAUACAAAAACGCUGUUUCAGAUAACUGUUCCACCUCUUUAAGAUGAGGGUUUUUUUUAGCCUCCUCUACUAAACUACACACAUGCAAAUGUUACAUCACAAACAGCUGUCCAGGACCCAUAUUGUGACAAUUACUGUCCAUGCAGGUGAAGCUGUGAACAGACUGGUAUUCUCAUAGAUGCUGUCAAAAUCCUUGGAGUCUAAGGUCUUGUUUGCACUCUUGUCAUUUUCAUUUUAUUCCAUUGUUUCAGUUCCAGUCGUCCUGAAAUAAUCUUUAUGUGUUUCCUUGAUACACACUUCCCCCUCCAAGAUUUACAAGAGUCAAAAGUGAUUUUUUUGCUGAAUUUGCUCCAGUGGCCAUAUGGACAUAUGGACCCCAACAGGUAUUACUCAAUUUACCGAAAAAAGUAAGGGUGGGUUAAGCAAAAUUACAUUUGAAAUAUUCUGUGCUUAUUUGGCUCACACACUUUAAAUUAUGGUAGUGUUCUGAUCAGACUCACAGUUCAAUAGGAUAGCAAGGGAAACAGAAGGCUAUAUCUUUUUUUCUUAAGACUGUGGAGUCUUAAGAAACAAAAAGUUUCAGGAAAUUGGAUUUGAAACACAGGAGCAGAUACAAGAGUUGCAGGAGCAACCUUCUUUAUAAGACUUCUGCCAAGCCAGCCUAAUCUUUUAAUUAGCUCAGCCACUGAUUUUAAUCAGAAAGGAAUGAGAAUUUUAGCACAGCACACAAAUAUUUGAUUUUGGGAGAUGUGCAGGGAUGGAUGGACAGCUUGAUCUCCACACUUGUUGCAGUAGAUAUGCAAUGUGAACUGGUGGUAUUUUUUGUUAUUAUCAGAAUAAUUCACAUUUCUUCUUCUAUUUCUUCUUCCUGUUCCUUUUUGUGUGUGUUAAAUUUUGAAAAAUAAUAAUAAAAGGAAAGUGUCCCAAGGGGAAACGUUUAAGCACUCCUCCAUCUUCUCCAAACUAGGCCUUGUUCUGUAUGCAACUUCUUCUUUUUAAUCAUUUGGAGGUGCAUCUCUUGAGUGUUUCAUCUCAUUUGGCCCUGAGGCCAUAAUCCAGAAGGCACGAGCACACAUGUUUCUCUUUGAAAAAUGAAUAUACCAGCACUGCCGUACACCAUGUCACAUUAUAAAGUGCUUUUUAAACUUCUGGUGUUUAUGUUAUAUACAGCUGCAACAUGUAUAUAUUGCAGCUACCGAUUUGCCAUUUGCAAAAGCAAAAAAGAAAACCCACCCACAUUGGAUGUGCUGAGCUAUUCAUAGGAUUCCCCAUGGGCUGUGGCCUGAGGGUUUCCUCCUUGUUUGUCUUUCCAUCUCUUUUCUCCUCUUUCUAAACGAAUAUCAUUCUUUUAGAGCUGCUUCCUUGUUGUUGUUUAGUCGUGUCCGACUCUUCGUGACCCCAUGGACCAGAGCACACCAGGCACUUCUGUCUUCCACUGUCUCCUGCAGUUUGGUCAGACUCAUGUUUGUAGCUUCGAGAACACUGUCCAACAAUCUCGUCCUCUGCCGUCCCCUUCUCCUUGUGCCCUCAAUCUUUCCCAACAUCAGGGUCUUUUCCAGGGAGUCUUCUCUUCUCAUGAGGUGGCCAAAGUAUUGGAGCCUCAGCUUCACGAUCUGUCCUUCCAGUGAGCACUCAGGGCUGAUUUCCUUAAGAAUGGAUGCAUUUGAUCUUCUUGCAGUCCAUGGGACUCUCAAGAGUCUCCUCCAGCACCAUAAUUCAAAAGCAUCAAUUCUU
This 21334-nucleotide long non-coding RNA is filed under the name Podarcis lilfordi (Lilford's wall lizard). The record is from RNAcentral. Lineage: Eukaryota; Metazoa; Chordata; Lepidosauria; Squamata; Lacertidae.